Molecule: ribosomal RNA, 253 nt
Filed under: uncultured bacterium
Lineage: Bacteria
Description: partial 16S ribosomal RNA
Rfam family: Bacterial small subunit ribosomal RNA
Source: RNAcentral
GACGAACCGUGCGAACGUUGUUCGGAAUCACUGGGCUUAAAGGGCGCGUAGGCGGGCAGUCAAGUCCGGGGUGAAAGCUUCCGGCUCAACCGGAAAAGGGCCUUGGAUACUGGCUGUCUGGAGGGAGGUAGGGGCAUGCGGAACUUCCGGUGGAGCGGUGAAAUGCGUAGAUAUCUGGAGGAACACCGGUGGCGAAGGCGGCAUCCUGGACCGACACUGACGCUGAGGAGCGAAAGCCAGGGGAGCAAACGGG